AACGCACCUUGCGCUCCUUGGUAUUCCGAGGAGCAUGCCUGUUUGAGUGUCAUGAAAUUCUCAACCUAACAAGUUCUUAACGGGACUUGCUUAGGCUUGGACUUGGAGGCUUGUCGGCUCUUAGCAGUCGGCUCCUCUCAAAUGCAUUAGCUUGGUUCCUUGCGGAUCGGCUCACGGUGUGAUAAUUAUCUGCGCCGCGACCGUUGAAGCGUUUAAUGGCCAGCUUCUAAUCGUCUCUUGCGAGACAGCUUUCAUCGAACUCUGACCUCAAAUCAGGUAGGACUACCCGCUGAACUUAA
RNAcentral lists this unclassified non-coding RNA (299 nucleotides) under uncultured fungus. Its description in RNAcentral is "partial contains 5.8S rRNA and ITS2". The stretch from base 1 to 52 matches the Rfam family "5.8S ribosomal RNA", at positions 103 to 154 of the family's 154-position model. Lineage: Eukaryota; Fungi. The record is from RNAcentral.